RNAcentral lists this ribosomal RNA (1132 nucleotides) under marine metagenome. RNAcentral's name for it is "bacterial SSU rRNA". It matches the Rfam family "Bacterial small subunit ribosomal RNA", at positions 380 to 1516 of the family's 1533-position model. The record is from RNAcentral.
AGCCUGAUGGUGCGACGCCGCGUGGAGGAUGACAGCCCUAGGGUUGUAAACUCCUGUCAUGAGAGAGUAAAGACUUAACGUUAAUACCGUUGGGUCCUGAUAGUAUCUCAAGAGGAAGGGACGGCUAACUUCGUGCCAGCAGCCGCGGUAAUACGAAGGUCCCAAGCGUUGUUCGGAAUUACUGGGCGUAAAGCGUGCGUAGGUGGCAUGGUAAGUCAGAUGUGAAAUCCCGGGGCUCAACCUCGGAACUGCAUCCGAUACUGCCAAGCUAGAGUAGUGGAGGGGAGUCUGGAAUUCACGGUGUAGCAGUGAAAUGCGUAGAUAUCGUGAGGAACACUAGUGGCGAAGGCGAGACUCUGGACACUAACUGACACUGAGGCACGAAGGCUAGGGUAGCGAAAGGGAUUAGAUACCCCUGUAGUCCUAGCAGUAAACGGUGCGCGUUUGGUGUGGGCGGGUUCGACCCCGUCCGUGCCGAAGCUAACGCGUUAAACGCGCCGCCUGGGGAGUACGGCCGCAAGGCUAAAACUCAAAGAAAUUGACGGGGACCCGCACAAGCGGUGGAGUAUGUGGCUUAAUUCGAUGCAACGCGAAGAACCUUACCUAGGCUUGACAUGCUUGUCGUAGUUCUGUGAAAGCAGAUCGUCAGUUCGGCUGGACUUGCACAGGUGCUGCAUGGCUGUCGUCAGCUCGUGUCGUGAGAUGUUGGGUUAAGUCCCGCAACGAGCGCAACCCCUAUGAUUAGUUGCCAGCGAGUAAUGUCGGGGACUCUAGUCAGACUGCCUGUAUUAAACAGGAGGAAGGUGGGGACGACGUCAAGUCAGUAUGGCCCUUACGCCUAGGGCUGCACACGUACUACAAUGCCCAGUACAAUGUGAACCGAUACCGUAAGGUGGAGGAAAUCCUUAAAACUGGGCUCAGUUCGGAUUGUGGGCUGCAACUCGCCCACAUGAAGCUGGAAUCGCUAGUAAUGGCACAUCAGCUACGGUGCCGUGAAUACGUUCCCGGGUCUUGUACACACCGCCCGUCACAUCAUGGAAGCCGCUCGCACCCGAAGUACCUCUAUAGGGUCCUAAGGUGUAGGUGGUAACUGGGAUGAAGUCGUAACAAGGUAGCCGUAGGGGAACCUGCG